This 497-nucleotide ribosomal RNA is filed under the name uncultured bacterium. RNAcentral describes it as "partial 16S ribosomal RNA". It matches the Rfam family "Bacterial small subunit ribosomal RNA", at positions 28 to 507 of the family's 1533-position model. The record is from RNAcentral.
GAUGAACGCUGGCGGCGUGCCUAAUACAUGCAAGUCGAGCGAACGGACGAGAAGCUUGCUUCUCUGAUGUUAGCGGCGGACGGGUGAGUAACACGUGGAUAACCUACCUAUAAGACUGGGAUAACUUCGGGAAACCGUAGCUAAUACCGGAUAAUAUUUUGAGCCGCAUGGUUCAAAAGUGAAAGACGGUCUUGCUGUCACUUAUAGAUGGAUCCGCGCUGCAUUAGCUAGUUGGUAAGGUAACGGCUUACCAAGGCAACGAUGCAUAGCCGACCUGAGAGGGUGAUCGGCCACACUGGAACUGAGACACGGUCCAGACUCCUACGGGAGGCAGCAGUAGGGAAUCUUCCGCAAUGGGCGAAAGCCUGACGGAGCAACGCCGCGUGAGUGAUGAAGGUCUUCGGAUCGUAAAACUCUGUUAUUAGGGAAGAACAUAUGUGUAAGUAACUGUGCACAUCCUGACGGUACCUAAUCAGAAAGCCACGGCUAACUACGUG